AAGGGAGACCUAAUUCCGGUAGGAGACGAAAAAAAAGUAGUCCCAACCAAGAAUCAAUCCCAAAAGGUCGGAGCGAGGCGAAAUUGGCUUUCAAACUAGGUUCUGGGUUCACACAAGACCUGAAUCAGGAACAAGGGCUAUUAGCUCAGGUGGUUAGAGCGCACCCCUGAUAAGGGUGAGGUCCCUGGUUCGAGUCCAGGAUGGCCCACCUGUACAGGUGGGAGAAAGAAAAGAAGCUCCGAAUCAGCACCUUAUCUUACUUAUAUAGUAAGAGAGAAUGCUGGCUCUGAGUUCAGAGUCCAGAGGAACCUUGAAAACUGCAUAGAGCUAGGUGAAAAAGCCAAAAAAGAAGACCGCCA
RNAcentral lists this transfer RNA (359 nucleotides) under uncultured Microcystis sp. RNAcentral's name for it is "partial 16S-23S ribosomal RNA intergenic spacer". The stretch from base 135 to 208 matches the Rfam family "tRNA". Lineage: Bacteria; Bacillati; Cyanobacteriota; Cyanophyceae; Chroococcales; Microcystaceae. The record is from RNAcentral.